UGCCUUUGUGUUGCCCAUUCAUUACUUUUCCAGUGAAUGUGGUGUCAGAAAAGGCAUAUAACAACUCUGGCUGUCCUGUGCAAGAGCUGGUUAUGUACCUUUCUCAGCACUUCGGCUAGAACAUGC
This is a small nucleolar RNA of Hemicordylus capensis (graceful crag lizard), 126 nucleotides long. RefSeq annotates it as small nucleolar RNA SNORA13. The record is from RefSeq and is a predicted model, not a curated record. The transcript has a single exon. Lineage: Eukaryota; Metazoa; Chordata; Lepidosauria; Squamata; Cordylidae.